This 405-nucleotide ribosomal RNA is filed under the name uncultured bacterium. RNAcentral describes it as "bacterial SSU rRNA". It matches the Rfam family "Bacterial small subunit ribosomal RNA", at positions 355 to 793 of the family's 1533-position model. The record is from RNAcentral.
UGGGGAAUAUUGGACAAUGGGCGCAAGCCUGAUCCAGCCAUGCCGCGUGAGUGAUGAAGGCCUUAGGGUUGUAAAGCUCUUUCAGUGGGGACGCGGUACCCACAGAAGAAGCCCCGGCUAACUUCGUGCCAGCAGCCGCGGUAAUACGAAGGGGGCUAGCGUUGUUCGGAUUUACUGGGCGUAAAGCGCACGUAGGCGGGUCUUAAGUCGGGGGUGAAAUCCUGGACUCAAUCCAGAACUGCCUUCGAUACUGGCGACCUAGGGUCCGGAAGAGGUGAGUGGAACUCCAGUGUAGAGGUGGAAUUCGUAGAUAUUAGAAGAACACCAGUGGCGAAGGCAGUCCCCUGCCAGUACUGACGUCAUGCACGAAAGCGUGGGAGCAAACAGGAUUAGAUACCCUAGUAU